Molecule: ribosomal RNA, 1029 nt
Filed under: Triticum aestivum (bread wheat)
Lineage: Eukaryota; Viridiplantae; Streptophyta; Magnoliopsida; Poales; Poaceae
Description: partial small subunit ribosomal RNA
Source: RNAcentral
AUGGCCGGCCAUGAGGAGCUCUUUCCCGUCGGCUCCACCUUCAGUCCCCAGGAUCACGAGCUCAUCAACCAGUUCCUCCGCCAGAAGAUCGCCGGAGCAGACCGUGGCCGCUUCAGCAGCUUCAUCCACGAAGACGACGUCUACUCCGCGCCACCCGGGGACCUCAUCGAGAACCGUGCCCACGCGCCUGGCUCCGACAAGAACGACGGCAAAGGAGGCGUGUGGUACUUCUUCUCACCGGUCCGUCGUCACCAGACCAAAGGUGGCCGCAGCGGAAGGCGACAGCGCGUCGUCGACGACGACGAGGGUUACAACUGGCACUCGGAGAAGAGCGAGCCCGUGCUAGACACUCAAGGUAAACGGGUCGGCUUCAUCAACAAACUUUCCUUUGGGAUCAAGAGGCCUGGAGCAGCCAGAACCAGGCUUGGGUGGUGCAUGAAGGAGUACGGCCUCGACCACGACGACGAACAAGACGGUGCGGCCGGACUGGUGCUAUGCAAGAUCUACGUCUCUCCCCACAAGAGGGAGAUUACCUACGCGUCCGUAAUCAAUGCCCCCGGUUCCAAGAAGAAGAGGAAGGCGGCCGCCGACGUCCAACAUCCGGAGGCUCCACGUCCCAAAACCCCACGCCGCCAAGAAAUGACCAUCCAAGAAGAAGAAGAAGAAGCCGGCGGGGCGCUUUGGGAGUUCGAGCGUUCGUUCAUGUCCGACCAAGACGAGACGCUGCCCCCCGGAGUAGUGGACGACGACAGCGUGGAUCCAGGCGGCUUUUUCACCGACAUGCUUCCAGAAUUAGGACUGACACUGCAGGGAAAUACUGAGGCGUCCGAGCAUGGCAGCGACUGUACAUUGGAGGAGUCCUUAGCCGGCGAAUAUGGCGACGUCCACCAAGACGUUGAGACGGCGGAGGAGGAUGACGGCAGCUUCCAGUGCACAUGGGAGGAGAUGUUCGGCGACAACAUGGAAGUGGCAUGCCCUGCCCCGCCGACGGCGUCGUUGCACGUGAGGACCGAGUGUGCGUGUGUGUGA